CUCUGCAGAAGUGCGAUUAUUUGAUGCGUUCGGGAAGUGUUCUGGAGAGGAAGAUUGAAGCCUGACUGCAACCCGUCCCGCUCUGUGGCCUUGGCAGGACUUCGAAGGGGAAGCUGGCUGCAAAAGUAUCUACACAGCUUUUUCGCUGAACUGGAGCUCGCAGACGUUCUCCUUGUGCCAGGUGAGCUUCUACACGAACCAUCUCCUGAAAACCUAUUAAUCUCUGUCAGUGGCGGUGCAGAGAGUGCAUCCGGGUAUAAGUCCAGUGUGGUAAGGGCUUUUGUGAAGGUUCGCCUUUUGCACCAUACAUCAGCCUCAUCCAAUGCUCAGGACUGUUAUUUGUUGGAAGCAAAUACACGGCCACACUUCGGUAUGUCUUCGCAAAUGCGCGGAUUGUAGAGGGUCUCCGGUGUCCCAACAGUCACUGAGAUCACAAUUCGAUGCUGGAGAGUGUGGUAACAGAGAGUAAUGCUGGGAUUAAAGUGUCAAUGCCUUGUCGAUUGACCAACACACUGGCUAUAAUAAAUCGCGCCUAGAGAAGAGGGCGCACAAGGGGUUUUCAGUGGCAGAAGUAGGCGUGCACAAGUUGUGAAGGUCAUCUUCUGGCUUUGCGGUGUUUGAUGCGUACAAACUAUGGAUUCGAAGAAACGCCUUUACAUAUCAUUUUAAAGGCUUAAAAGCUUCCAAGCGGCCCUAAUGCUUCCUUUUCUUGCUGGAAGAGAUAAGCAGGCAAGCCAGUGUUUAAGUAUACUACGUAGUAAGGAGUGCACCAUUACAUGAGUUCAUCCAGCGUCCACGAUUGGCAGAGAUUAUUUCAAGUAAAUAGAGCAAGCUUGGAGCUGCACCUGUCAUGUGCACUGACACAUGCCUUUGGUAUGGCAGGAGGUGUGCGACUUGCCUAAUGGAGUUGUUCUCAUGGAUAGUCACCAAACCAGGAAAUAGGGAAGCUUGAAAGAGUGGAAGUGGAGGGAUCACCUUGAACCUCCAACAUGGGAAGACUUAAUGGCCAUCGCAAUGGCUACUUGCCAAAGGAGAAUGGAUUUGAGGCAACACUUGUCAAUCGCACGGGUUCCAUGCCAGAAAUGAAUGGCUCUCUGAAGCAGGUGAGGAUGGUGUAUGUCUUCACGGACAUUGCCAUGACCUGUGUCACCUUUUAGACCUUUUCGUAUAUGGACUCAGCCCCAUAUUUGAUGUCUGAUCUUCUCUAUAAAUGUGCAGGAAUAUGAUGUUGCUUCUCUGAUGGAGGGUGAUGACAGACAGCGCUUUCUGCAGCGCAUCUCAGCUGGCAGUCAGG
RNAcentral lists this long non-coding RNA (1294 nucleotides) under Coccomyxa subellipsoidea. RNAcentral's name for it is "long non-coding RNA (CSUB_LNC000303)". Lineage: Eukaryota; Viridiplantae; Chlorophyta; Trebouxiophyceae; Coccomyxaceae. The record is from RNAcentral.